Molecule: ribosomal RNA, 253 nt
Filed under: uncultured prokaryote
Description: partial 16S ribosomal RNA
Rfam family: Bacterial small subunit ribosomal RNA
Source: RNAcentral
ACAGAGGGUGCGAGCGUUAAUCGGAAUUACUGGGCGUAAAGCGCACGUAGGUGGCUUUGCAAGUCGAUUGUGAAAUCCCCGGGCUCAACCUGGGAACUGCAGUCGAGACUGCUCUGCUUGAAUAUGGGAGAGGGAGGUGGAAUUUCCGGUGUAGUGGUGAAAUGCGUAGAGAUCGGCAGGAACACCCAGGGGGAAACCAGCCGACUGGGCAAGUGCUGACGCUGAGGUGCGAGAGCGUGGGGAGCGAACCGGA